GUGGGGAAUAUUGGGCAAUGGGCGAAAGCCUGACCCAGCAACGCCGCGUGAAGGAAGAAGGUUUUCGGAUUGUAAACUUCUGUCCUCAGGGAAGAAGGAAGUGACGGUACCUGAGGAGGAAGCCCCGGCUAACUACGUGCCAGCAGCCGCGGUAAUACGUAGGGGGCGAGCGUUGUCCGGAAUGACUGGGCGUAAAGGGCGCGUAGACGGUUUUUUAAGUCUGGAGUGAAAGUCCUGCUUUCAAGGGGGGAAUUGCUUUGGAGACUGGGAGACUUGAGUGCGGAAGAGGUAAGUGGAAUUCCCAGUGUAGCGGUGAAAUGCGUAGAGAUUGGGAAGAACACCAGUGGCGAAGGCGACUUACUGGGCCGUAACUGACGUUGAUGCGCGAAAGCGUGGGGAGCGAACAGGAUUAGAAACCCCAGUAGUCC
This 428-nucleotide ribosomal RNA is filed under the name uncultured bacterium. RNAcentral's name for it is "partial 16S ribosomal RNA". It matches the Rfam family "Bacterial small subunit ribosomal RNA", at positions 354 to 796 of the family's 1533-position model. The record is from RNAcentral.